This 444-nucleotide ribosomal RNA is filed under the name uncultured bacterium. Its description in RNAcentral is "bacterial SSU rRNA". It matches the Rfam family "Bacterial small subunit ribosomal RNA", at positions 331 to 792 of the family's 1533-position model. The record is from RNAcentral.
CCAGACUCCUACGGGAGGCAGCAGUGGGGGAUAUUGCACAAUGGGGGAAACCCUGAUGCAGCGACGCCGCGUGAGUGAAGAAGUAUUUCGGUAUGUAAAGCUCUAUCAGCAGGGAAGAAAAUGACGGUACCUGAUUAAGAAGCCCCGGCUAACUACGUGCCAGCAGCCGCGGUAAUACGUAGGGGGCAAGCGUUAUCCGGAUUUACUGGGUGUAAAGGGAGCGUAGACGGCAGCACAAGUCUGGAGUGAAAAUUAUGGGCUCAACCCAUAACCUGCUUUUGAAACUGUUUUUCUUGAGUGAAGCAGAGGCAAGCGGAAUUCCUAGUGUAGCGGUGAAAUGCGUAGAUAUUAGGAGGAACACCAGUUGCGAAGGCGGCUUACUGAACUGCAACUGACGUUGAUGCUCGAAAGCGUGGGGAGCAAACAGGAUUAGAUACCCCAGUA